This 79-nucleotide transfer RNA is filed under the name Pygoscelis adeliae (Adelie penguin). RNAcentral describes it as "tRNA-Asn". Lineage: Eukaryota; Metazoa; Chordata; Aves; Sphenisciformes; Spheniscidae. The record is from RNAcentral.
CUAGACAGACGGGCUUCGAUCCCGUGACAUCCUAGUUAACAGCUAAGCGCCCUAACCAGCAGGCUUCCGUCUAUCAAGC